RNAcentral lists this ribosomal RNA (270 nucleotides) under Triticum aestivum (bread wheat). Its description in RNAcentral is "partial small subunit ribosomal RNA". Lineage: Eukaryota; Viridiplantae; Streptophyta; Magnoliopsida; Poales; Poaceae. The record is from RNAcentral.
AUGCCAAUAGCACAACUUGCAGAGAGAUUACUUUGCCAACGCAUGGGGGUGAUUGAUGAAGGGGAGAUGGUCACAGAAGCUGCCAUUGCGAAGUUUGCUGAUCUCUUCCAAGGCCAGCUGCCGGACAUCGUUGUGGCUGCGCUUCGGGCCCUUUUCAGGCUGGACUGUGACCUUCCCUCGGCAGUGGAGGACGCCCUUCUUGCUCAUGGAGGAGGCACUCUUCUGGAGCUGCAAGGACAAGGCAGGGGAGAAGAUGCGGCGACAACCUGA